This 495-nucleotide ribosomal RNA is filed under the name uncultured bacterium. Its description in RNAcentral is "partial 16S ribosomal RNA". It matches the Rfam family "Bacterial small subunit ribosomal RNA", at positions 28 to 507 of the family's 1533-position model. The record is from RNAcentral.
GACGAACGCUGGCGGCGUGCCUAAUACAUGCAAGUAGAACGCUGAAGGAGGAGCUUGCUCUUCUGGAUGAGUUGCGAACGGGUGAGUAACGCGUAGGUAACCUGCCUGGUAGCGGGGGAUUACUAUUGGAAACGAUAGCUAAUACCGCAUAAGAGUAGAUGUUGCAUGACAUUUACUUAAAAGGUGCAAUUGCAUCACUACCAGAUGGACCUGCGUUGUAUUAGCUAGUUGGUGGGGUAACGGCUUACCAAGGCGACGAUACAUAGCCGACCUGAGAGGGUGAUCGGCCACACUGGGACUGAGACACGGCCCAGACUCCUACGGGAGGCAGCAGUAGGGAAUCUUCGGCAAUGGACGGAAGUCUGACCGAGCAACGCCGCGUGAGUGAAGAAGGUUUUCGGAUCGUAAAGCUCUGUUGUAAGAGAAGAACGAGUGUGAGAGUGGAAAGUUCACACUGUGACGGUAUCUUACCAGAAAGGGACGGCUAACUACGUG